RNAcentral lists this ribosomal RNA (667 nucleotides) under uncultured archaeon. RNAcentral describes it as "bacterial SSU rRNA". It matches the Rfam family "Archaeal small subunit ribosomal RNA", at positions 21 to 696 of the family's 1478-position model. The record is from RNAcentral.
GGUCACUGCUGGCGGGGUUCGAUUAAGCCAUGCGAUUCGAGCGGGUUGAGACCCUCGGCGGACUGCUCAGUAACACGUGGAUAACCUGGCCUAAGGCGGAAGAUAAGCCCGGGAAACUGGGGAUAAUACUCCAUAGAUUAGAGAUACUGGAAUGUUCUUUAGUCGAAAGUUCAGGCGCCUUAGGGUGGAUCUGCCGCCGAUUAGGUAGGUGUUGGGGUAACGGCCCAACAAGCCCGUAAUCGGUACGGGUUGUGGGAGCAAGAGCCCGGAGAUGGAAUCUGAGACACGAUUCCAGGCCCUACGGGGCGCAGCAGGCGCGAAAACUUUACAAUGCAGGAAACUGUGAUAAGGGAACCCCGAGUGCCCGUAUACGCGGGCUGUCCUGGUGUUUAAAAUGCAUCAGAAGAAAGGGCCGGGCAAGAACGGUGCCGGCCGCCGCGGUAAUACCGGCGGCUCGAGUGGUGGCCACUUUUAUUGGGCUUAAAGCGUUCGUAGCUGGAUUUUUAAGUCUCUUGGGAAAUCUGCAGGCUUAACCUGCAGGCGUUUAAGAGAUACUGGAAAUCUAGGAACCGGGAGAGGUAAGAGGUACUCCAGGGGUAGAAGUGAAAUUCUGUAAUCCUUGGGGGGCCACCGAUGGCGAAGGCAUCUUACCAGAACGGCUUCGACA